This 254-nucleotide ribosomal RNA is filed under the name uncultured bacterium. RNAcentral's name for it is "partial 16S ribosomal RNA". It matches the Rfam family "Bacterial small subunit ribosomal RNA", at positions 524 to 776 of the family's 1533-position model. The record is from RNAcentral.
UACGUAGGCAGCGAGCGUUGUUCGGAAUUACUGGGCGUAAAGAGUGUGUAGGCGGUGUUCCCAGUCUGUUGUGAAAUCUCCCGGCUUAACUGGGAGGGUGCAGCGGAAACUAGAAUGCUAGAGGGUGGGAGAGGUAAGCGGAAUUCCUGGUGUAGGCGGUGAAAUGCGUAGAUAUCAGGAGGAACACCUGUGGUGUAGACAGCUUACUGGACCACUUCUGACGCUGAGACACGAAAGCGUGGGUAGCAAACAGG